Molecule: ribosomal RNA, 460 nt
Filed under: uncultured bacterium
Lineage: Bacteria
Description: SSU rRNA
Rfam family: Bacterial small subunit ribosomal RNA
Source: RNAcentral
AGAAUCAACGCUGGCGGCGUGCCUAACACAUGCAAGUCGCACGAGAAAGGGACUUCGGUCCUGAGUAAAGUGGCGCACGGGUGAGUAACACGUGAAUCAUCUACCUCCGAGUGGGGAAUAACCUAGAGAAAUCUGGGCUAAUACCGCAUAACACUUACGAGUCAAAGCAGCAAUGCGCUUGGAGAGGAGUUCGCGGCAGAUUAGUUAGUUGGCGGGGUAAUGGCCCACCAAGACGAUGAUCUGUAUCCGGCCUGAGAGGGCGCACGGACACACUGGAACUGAAACACGGUCCAGACUCCUACGGGAGGCAGCAGUGGGGAAUUUUGCGCAAUGGGGGAAACCCUGACGCAGCAACGCCGCGUGGAGGAUGAAAUAUCUUGGUAUGUAAACUCCUUUCGAUGGGGAAGAUAAUGACGGUACCCAUAGAAGAAGCCCCGGCUAACUUCGUGCCAGCAGCCGC